Long non-coding RNA from Heteronotia binoei (common prickly gecko), 277 nucleotides. RefSeq lists it as uncharacterized. The record is from RefSeq and is a predicted model, not a curated record. The transcript has 2 exons. Lineage: Eukaryota; Metazoa; Chordata; Lepidosauria; Squamata; Gekkonidae.
GCGGCUGCCGCCUGCGCCGCUCGCUACAAAACGUCAUUUCCCGGUCCCACACGGGCUGCUCCGGCUGCUUCUCCUCUUCUCCCCCUUCUGGGCUCGGCCGGCUGCCUCUGCGCAUGGCCUUCACCGGCGGCUGCAAUUGCAACUGCUCUUGCUGAGAUACAUGGGCCAUACGUGUCCAUCGAAGUACCCAGGUGGAUCUGGUGGAUUAUAAACUCGGGUGCUACAGAAAAAUAUGGGAACUUUACUUGUACACCACGUUUAGCAAGAGUUUCUAUAU